Molecule: ribosomal RNA, 817 nt
Filed under: uncultured marine archaeon
Lineage: Archaea
Description: bacterial SSU rRNA
Rfam family: Archaeal small subunit ribosomal RNA
Source: RNAcentral
CCCAAUUAGGAUAUUUACUAAGCCCCUUGCGAGUCAUUGUAGUAAUACAAGGCAGACGGCUCAGUAACGCGUAGUCCACUCUUAACCUAUGGACGGGAAUAACCUCGGGAAACUGAUUAUCAUGCCCGAUAGAACAUUAUGCCUGGAAUGGUUUAUGUUCCAAAUGAUUUAUCGCCGUAGGAUGGGACUGCGGCCUAUCAGUUUGUUGGUGAGGUAAUGGCCCACCAAGACUAUUACAGGUACGGGCUCUGAGAGGAGUGGCCCGGAGAUGGGUACUGAGACACGGACCCAGGCCCUAUGGGGCGCAGCAGGCGAAAAAACUUUGCAAUGUGCGAAAGCACGACAAGGUUAAUCCGAGUGGUUUCUGCUAAAGGAACCUUUUGUCGGUCCUAGAAACACCGAUGAAUAAGGGGUGGGCAAGUUCUGGUGUCAGCCGCCGCGGUAAAACCAACACCUCAAGUGGUCAAGGAUGAUUAUUGGGCCUAAAGCAUCCGUAGCCGGCUUUGUUAGUUUUCGGUUAAAUCUGUACCCUCAACCUACAGGCUGCCGGGAAUACUGAAAAGCUAGGUAAUGGGAGAGGGUUAACCGUACUCGGUAGGAAAGGGGUAAAAUCCCUUUGAUCUUUGAUGACCACCUGUGGCGAAAGGGCGGUUACCCAAAUACGUCCGACAGUGAGGGAAUGAAAACUGGGGGGAAACAACCAGAAUAUAUCCCCCCGGUAGUCCCCACUGUAAACUAUGCAAACCUCGUGAUGCAUUGGCUUUGUGGCCCAAUGCACUGCUUGCAGGAAACCCUUAAAAUUUGGCGCCCGGGAAAA